UUGGACUGGCGCACUGACGUCAUGACGCUGCGCCCCACCCCACUGUAAUUCGGCUGAGGAAAGAUUUGCGUUUUUAAGUAUUUAUAGUGUUUUAUCGUUUCGAGACAUUUUCUCUCACACUCUUCUGAACUCAGUGCAACUUCAGUGCAAAUACUUGGCAAAACGAUUCAGUUUCGUUUGGGUUCAGAGCGACGUCGCGCGCUUAAACAACUCACAACUAACUAUAACGCGAACGUUUACAACAAACUACAAAAUGUUCAGAGGUUUAGUUUGCAUUUUCUCAUGUCAGUUCUUAUCUUAAACAGGACCCGGCGAAACGUGUCACUCUUAAAAAGAUGGUGUUCAUUAAAGAGGAGAGUGAAGACGUGAAGAUUGAAGAAACAUGAAGAAACUGAGGAACAAACAGACGUGACGUCAUAAGAAAGCGCCGCGGACCGGCAAAACAAAGAUCUAAUGGCACCAAAGGAGGAGAAAGUAGUAGUUAAUGAAAACGAAGAGGAAGAUCAAUAUGAGAAUCUUCAUGAUUACCAAACUGGAGAAAAACCAUCGUCUCCGACUGAAAAGACGUCCACACGAGAAAGUCCACACGCUUUCAGUUUGAAAGAGUUUCAAUCAACAAAACUCUAGAGACCACAUGCAAAUUCACUCUGGAAAGAAGACCUUCACCUGCGAACAGUGUGGGAAAAGCUUCAGUCAAAAAGCAUGCUUUAACAAGCACAUGAGAGUUCACACCGGAGAGAAACUUUACAAAUGCGGAAAGAGUUACGCUCAACAAGGACACCUUGAUAUUCACACGAGAACUCACACCGGAGAGAAGCCUUUCGUAUGCCAGUGCUGUAGAAAGAGCUUUUCUCAUCAGGGAAACCUAAGCAGUCACAUGAGAACUCACACGGGAGGGAAUUCUUACAUGUGUCUUCAGUGUGGAAGAAGUUUCGGUCAACGUGGAUAAUCAUCUAUUACUAUUACUAUCAUCUAUCAUCUAUAUGCAAGGUGAUAUGCAAGGUGUUCCCAGUUCUGGUUGAGCUAAUUAAUGCAACCUAAUAAUUUGGGCUGCACGAUAGUGUGAUGUGCACAUCUAUGUUUGAAAUUUGUUUAUUUUUGUAAAGCUUUUCAGUACUUUUUGUUUGUUUUGUCAUAUAACAGAAAUAUAUAUUUUUCUAAUAUUGUGCAGCCCUAGGGGCAAAUUUCCUUUAAUAGAUUUUAAUAACAGAGUAUUUAAGUUUAAGACAGGAUAAAGAGAUGAGUCUUUAAUUUAGAUUUAAACAGAAAGAGUGUGUCUGUCUCCUGAAAAAUGUUAGGUAGAUUGAUCCAGGGGGAGCUGAACAGGAAAAAGAUCUGCCACCCCCAGAUGAUUUUGAUGUUCUAGGUAUUAUCAAAUGACCAGAGAUUUUAAGAACAAGGAAUGCAAUAUGUGCUCACUCGAAUACAGAGGUCCUAAACCAUUCAGGGCUUUAUACGUAAUUAGCAAGAUUUUAAAAUGUAUACAAUGUUUAAUAGGAAGCCAGUGCAGUGUUGACAGAACCGGGCUAAUAUGAUCAUACUUCCCAAUUCUAGUAAGAACUCUAACUGCUGCAUUUUAUAACUUAUUUAGCACCAAAUAAUGAUUAAAAUAAUCUAUUACUAUUUAGAUUAUUACAAUAAUCUAAACUUGAGGUCAUGAGCAAAUGAAUGAUCUUUUCUGCAUUAAGCAUAGGUUAUAAUUUACAUCUAUAUAUAUAUAUAUAUAUAUAUAUAUAUAUAUAUAUAUAGAUGGAAUACUAAGGUUUUGCAAAUGCUUGAAACAUAGUUUUGAAGGAAAUAUCAAAUUGCAUGCCUAGGUUCCAAAAUAACUGACAAGAGCAGUGUUAUACAUUGUACAAGUGUUUUACUACAAGUAAGAAAUUAAUAGUCAUCUAGUUUUUAAUGUCUGAUUCCAUUAGUUUUGCAGAUCGGUACGUUUCAUUGGGCACCAAAGAAAUAUGGAGCAGAGUAUCAUCAGCUUAGCAAUGAACGCAGAAACAUAGUUUCGAAAGGACUACCAUGGCCUAUGAACCUCAGAUGUUCCACACCAGACUGUGAAGUCACUGUGGUAAAGAAACAAGACAUUUCAAAUGACAGUACAGCUUUUUGUUUUCAUUAGUGGUGCUUGCCUAAAGCGAAUAUCACUAUUUUGCUAUUUUCAAAAGUGAGGUGCACAUUUUCGAAAAUCUUAGUAUAGAACUGAUCGCACUUCUAACACCACUAGUAAUUUUUUCUAAACCUGAUCUCACGAUUAUAUUGUAAAUGUAAAUAUUUUCAUUCUACAUAAUCACUGUUUCAGAACACAAGAACAUUGUUAUUUGUAUCGAGAACAUUUUGGUGUUUUGGCUUAAUCGCCAAAACACAACAAUAAGAACUUCUUCCAACUUAGUACUUUUAACAGUUAAUUCAGUAGCAAAUAAUACAAGGUACAUGUUUCAAAUCAACCUUAGUGCUAAAUGGGUGUUACUGUACUGUUAAACCGUACAUUACACAGUCAGACAAACUUACAAAAGUGAUAAAAAACACAUUAAAAGUAAGUUAGGGCCAGAGUGCAAGGCAGAACAGAAGAACCAGAUACUGGCAGGCUUCGCACCUGAAAGCAAACCUGUGUUUAGGAAAGAUGGAGACAUGGAAAUAAGCAAAUUUUAAACCUGUUGUGACAAGCCAGCCCUUAGGCUUGCUCUGAGACGUGACCUGUUUGAUGGUGAGCAUCUUGAACUUGAACUCAAAUUACUGAGCUGUUCAGCUGAUGCUGAUCUGAAACAGGCCGCAAGUCCAUAUUCUUCUUGGAAAUAAUGAAGUACUGUAGAACCCUGCUUCUCUUUCGAGAGGAGGGACCACCUCGAUGGCCUCCUUCAGCAUUUAUUACUUGUUCCAAAACCCGAGCUUGCUCGUGACCCUCCACAGUGUAAAUGAUCCUGUUAAAACGUGGUUGAGGAGAACCAAACUGAUUUCUGUAACCCCUUUCUACAUUCUUUUUGGCGGACACUGGGAUGUGUACUUACUAGCUAUCACUGUGCCCUGAAGCACCUGUUGAAUUAAAGAGGCUGGCCAAAUGCAAUCUUGCCCAUGAUCU
This is a long non-coding RNA of Puntigrus tetrazona (Sumatra barb), 3076 nucleotides long. RefSeq lists it as uncharacterized. The record is from RefSeq and is a predicted model, not a curated record. The transcript is spliced from 4 exons. Lineage: Eukaryota; Metazoa; Chordata; Actinopteri; Cypriniformes; Cyprinidae.